CCUACGGGUGGCAGCAGUGAGGAAUAUUGGUCAAUGGGCGGAAGCCUGAACCAGCCAAGUAGCGUGCAGGAUGACGGCCCUACGGGUUGUAAACCUCUUUUGUACGGGAAUAAAGCGCGUUACGUGUGACCCUUUGCAUGUACCCUAUGAAUAAGCAUCGGCUAAAUCCGUGCCAGCAGCCGCGGUAAUACGGAGGAUGCGGGCGUUAUCCGGAUUUAUUGGGUUUAAAGGGUGCGCAGGCGGCUGGUCAAGCCGGCGGUAAAAGUUCGGGGCUCAACCCCGGCCUGCAGUUGAAACUGGGGUGCUUGAGUCCGCGAAAAGCAGGCGGAAUGCGUGGUGUAGCGGUGAAAUGCUUAGAUAUGACGAAGAACCCCGAUUGCGAAGGCAGCUUGCUGGAGCGGAACUGACGCUGAUGCACGAAAGCGUGGGUAUCGAACAGGAUUAGAUACCCUAGUAGUC
Molecule: ribosomal RNA, 459 nt
Filed under: uncultured bacterium
Lineage: Bacteria
Description: partial 16S ribosomal RNA
Rfam family: Bacterial small subunit ribosomal RNA
Source: RNAcentral